CCCGCACCUGGCGGCGAUGUCUCCGCUGCUGGCUGCCGGCAACUUCCGGUCUUCCGCUAGCCCCGCCUGCCGCUGCUAUCCCGCCUCGACCGCCGCCGUGGGCUGCCGCUGUCCGUGAGGGUAGACCAAGCCGCGCGCGUCGGCCACGGCACAGACCAAGCCAGCGCUGCCGGGCUGCGCCGCUCGCCGUCGCCUUGCGAGAGCCGACCGCGUAUACCUUCAGGGCAGCUUUGCAGAGAAAUUACAAAGGCGGCGAUGGCUCUAGCUCAAAGAGAAAUUGCUCAAGACUUUGUGUCUGUUCUCAGCAAGUACUGGUAGCACACUGCACACCUGGAGUAUGGCAAUUGUAGUGGACUGACAUUUUGCAUGAUUUGAAAUGCUUCAAUACUCUAGACUUGUGACAAAAGGUCAAUCAAAACUUGAAGGCAAAGGCAACGUGAAAGGGGGCCCAAAGUCGCGGGUGCAUGGACAGUGACUCUGGUACUGGAGUGACAAACUCCAUUUCUGCAGUCCUGGGAGCAUGCUUGAAUACAGAGAACAGUUGACUAAGGUGGACUGAAUGAUUUCACGUGGUUGUAGCAAUAUCUGUACUCAAUCUUGUUAUCUACGCAGUUCAUGUAAAAACUAGACUAAGGUGGACUGAAUGAUUUCACGUGGUUGUAGCAAUAUCUGUACUCAAUCUUGUUAUCUACGCAGUUCAUGUAAAAACUAGAGAUGCCAAGAGGAAGCGCUCUUUAAGAAUGAGAUAACAUUUUCUUUGUUCUGUCAUCGUCAGGCUGCUUAUGCAGGAGCAUGCUUGAAUAC
This is a long non-coding RNA of Panicum hallii, 804 nucleotides long. RefSeq lists it as uncharacterized. The record is from RefSeq and is a predicted model, not a curated record. Lineage: Eukaryota; Viridiplantae; Streptophyta; Magnoliopsida; Poales; Poaceae. The transcript has 4 exons.